Molecule: ribosomal RNA, 477 nt
Filed under: uncultured bacterium
Lineage: Bacteria
Description: partial 16S ribosomal RNA
Rfam family: Bacterial small subunit ribosomal RNA
Source: RNAcentral
GAUGAACGCUGGCGGCGUGCCUAAUACAUGCAAGUCGAGCGAACGGACGAGAAGCUUGCUGCUCUGAUGUUAGCGGCGGAGGGGUGAGUAACACGUGUAUAACCUACCUAUAAGACUGGGAUAACUUCGGGAAACCGGAGCUAAUACCGGAGAAUAUCUUGAACCGCAUGGUGCAAAAGAGAAAGACGGCGUUGCCGGCAGUGGGGGAUGGAUAUGCGCUGCAUCAGCUGGUUGGUAGGGUAGUGGGUUACCAAGGCGUUGAUGCAUAGCCGGCAUGAGAGGGUGAGCGGCCACAUGGGGACUGAGGUACGGCCCAGACUCCUACGGGAGGCAGCAGUGGGGAAUAUUGCACAAUGGGCGGAAGCCUGAUGCAGCAACGCCGCGUGCGGGAUGACGGCCUUCGGGUUGUAAACCGCUUUCGCCUGUGACGAAGCGUGAGUGACGGUAAUGGGUAAAGAAGCACCGGCUAACUACGUG